Molecule: ribosomal RNA, 1403 nt
Filed under: Salmonella enterica
Lineage: Bacteria; Pseudomonadati; Pseudomonadota; Gammaproteobacteria; Enterobacterales; Enterobacteriaceae
Description: partial 23S ribosomal RNA
Rfam family: Bacterial large subunit ribosomal RNA
Source: RNAcentral
AGGGUGACAGCCCCGUACACAAAAGCGCAUGUGCUGUGAGCUCGAUGAGUAGGGCGGGACACGUGGUAUCCUGUCUGAAUAUGGGGGGACCAUCCUCCAAGGCUAAAUACUCCUGACUGACCGAUAGUGAACCAGUACCGUGAGGGAAAGGCGAAAAGAACCCCGGCGAGGGGAGUGAAAAAGAACCUGAAACCGUGUACGUACAAGCAGUGGGAGCACCCUUUGGGUGUGACUGCGUACCUUUUGUAUAAUGGGUCAGCGACUUAUAUUCUGUAGCAAGGUUAACCGAAUAGGGGAGCCGGAGGGAAACCGAGUCUUAACCGGGCGUUAAGUUGCAGGGUAUAGACCCGAAACCCGGUGAUCUAGCCAUGGGCAGGUUGAAGGUUGGGUAACACUAACUGGAGGACCGAACCGACUAAUGUUGAAAAAUUAGCGGAUGACCUGUGGCUGGGGGUGAAAGGCCAAUCAAACCGGGAGAUAGCUGGUUCUCCCCGAAAGCUAUUUAGGUAGCGCCUCGUGAAUUCAUCUCCGGGGGUAGAGCACUGUUUCGGCUAGGGGGCCAUCCCGGCUUACCAACCCGAUGCAAACUGCGAAUACCGGAGAAUGUUAUCACGGGAGACACACGGCGGGUGCUAACGUCCGUCGUGAAGAGGGAAACAACCCAGACCGCCAGCUAAGGUCCCAAAGUCAUGGUUAAGUGGGAAACGAUGUGGGAAGGCCCAGACAGCCAGGAUGUUGGCUUAGAAGCAGCCAUCAUUUAAAGAAAGCGUAAUAGCUCACUGGUCGAGUCGGCCUGCGCGGAAGAUGUAACGGGGCUAAACCAUGCACCGAAGCUGCGGCAGCGACACUGUGUGUUGUUGGGUAGGGGAGCGUUCUGUAAGCCUGUGAAGGUGUGUCGUGAGGCAUGCUGGAGGUAUCAGAAGUGCGAAUGCUGACAUAAGUAACGAUAAAGCGGGUGAAAAGCCCGCUCGCCGGAAGACCAAGGGUUCCUGUCCAACGUUAAUCGGGGCAGGGUGAGUCGACCCCUAAGGCGAGGCCGAAAGGCGUAGUCGAUGGGAAACGGGUUAAUAUUCCCGUACUUGGUGUUACUGCGAAGGGGGGACGGAGAAGGCUAUGUUGGCCGGGCGACGGUUGUCCCGGUUUAAGCGUGUAGGUGUGUGUUCCAGGUAAAUCCGGUUCACUUUAACACUGAGGCGUGACGACGAGGCACUACGGUGCUGAAGCAACAAAUGCCCUGCUUCCAGGAAAAGCCUCUAAGCAUCAGGUAACAUCAAAUCGUACCCCAAACCGACACAGGUGGUCAGGUAGAGAAUACCAAGGCGCUUGAGAGAACUCGGGUGAAGGAACUAGGCAAAAUGGUGCCGUAACUUCGGGAGAAGGCACGCUGACACGUAGGUGAAGUG